RNAcentral lists this ribosomal RNA (1447 nucleotides) under uncultured bacterium. RNAcentral's name for it is "bacterial SSU rRNA". It matches the Rfam family "Bacterial small subunit ribosomal RNA". RNAcentral also lists the same sequence under 1 other name. The record is from RNAcentral.
GACGAACGCUGGCGGCGUGCUUAACACAUGCAAGUCGAACGGAAAGGCCCUGCUUUUGUGGGGUGCUCGAGUGGCGAACGGGUGAGUAACACGUGAGUAACCUGCCCUUGACUUUGGGAUAACUUCAGGAAACUGGGGCUAAUACCGGAUAGGAGCUCCUGCUGCAUGGUGGGGGUUGGAAAGUUUCGGCGGUUGGGGAUGGACUCGCGGCUUAUCAGCUUGUUGGUGGGGUAGUGGCUUACCAAGGCUUUGACGGGUAGCCGGCCUGAGAGGGUGACCGGCCACAUUGGGACUGAGAUACGGCCCAGACUCCUACGGGAGGCAGCAGUGGGGAAUAUUGCACAAUGGGCGGAAGCCUGAUGCAGCAACGCCGCGUGCGGGAUGACGGCCUUCGGGUUGUAAACCGCUUUCGCCUGUGACGAAGCGUGAGUGACGGUAAUGGGUAAAGAAGCACCGGCUAACUACGUGCCAGCAGCCGCGGUGAUACGUAGGGUGCGAGCGUUGUCCGGAUUUAUUGGGCGUAAAGGGCUCGUAGGUGGUUGAUCGCGUCGGAAGUGUAAUCUUGGGGCUUAACCCUGAGCGUGCUUUCGAUACGGGUUGACUUGAGGAAGGUAGGGGAGAAUGGAAUUCCUGGUGGAGCGGUGGAAUGCGCAGAUAUCAGGAGGAACACCAGUGGCGAAGGCGGUUCUCUGGGCCUUUCCUGACGCUGAGGAGCGAAAGCGUGGGGAGCGAACAGGCUUAGAUACCCUGGUAGUCCACGCUGUAAACGGUGGGUACUAGGUGUGGGGUCCAUUCCACGGGUUCCGUGCCGUAGCUAACGCUUUAAGUACCCCGCCUGGGGAGUACGGCCGCAAGGCUAAAACUCAAAGGAAUUGACGGGGCCCCGCACAAGCGGCGGAGCAUGCGGAUUAAUUCGAUGCAACGCGUAGAACCUUACCUGGGUUUGACAUGGAUCGGGAGCGCUCAGAGAUGGGUGUGCCUCUUUUGGGGUCGGUUCACAGGUGGUGCAUGGCUGUCGUCAGCUCGUGUCGUGAGAUGUUGGGUUAAGUCCCGCAACGAGCGCAACCCUUGUUCACUGUUGCCAGCACGUUAUGGUGGGGACUCAGUGGAGACCGCCGGGGUCAACUCGGAGGAAGGUGGGGAUGACGUCAAGUCAUCAUGCCCCUUAUGUCCAGGGCUUCACGCAUGCUACAAUGGCUGGUACAGAGAGUGGCGAGCCUGUGAGGGUGAGCGAAUCUCGGAAAGCCGGUCUCAGUUCGGAUUGGGGUCUGCAACUCGACCUCAUGAAGUCGGAGUCGCUAGUAAUCGCAGAUCAGCAACGCUGCGGUGAAUACGUUCCCGGGGCUUGUACACACCGCCCGUCAAGUCAUGAAAGUUGGUAACACCCGAAGCCGGUGGCCUAACCGUUGUGGGGGAGCCGUCGAAGGUGGGACUGGUGAUUAGGACU